UCUGAGCGUUAGGGAUAGAAGCGGUAUCCUUUUUAUUUUUUCUUUAAAAAUAAAAAGAUAUAGCGGAUAGCCCGUUCGCCG
Molecule: small RNA, 81 nt
Filed under: Flavobacterium resistens
Lineage: Bacteria; Pseudomonadati; Bacteroidota; Flavobacteriia; Flavobacteriales; Flavobacteriaceae
Description: Flavo-1 RNA
Rfam family: Flavo-1 RNA
Source: RNAcentral